AGAGUUUGAUCAUGGCUCAGAUUGAACGCUGGCGGCAGGCUUAACACAUGCAAGUCGAGCGGGGAGGGGUAGCUUGCUACCUGACCUAGCGGCGGACGGGUGAGUAAUGCUUAGGAAUCUGCCUAUUAGUGGGGGACAACAUUCCGAAAGGAAUGCUAAUACCGCAUACGCCCUACGGGGGAAAGCAGGGGAUCUUCGGACCUUGCGCUAAUAGAUGAGCCUAAGUCAGAUUAGCUAGUUGGUGGGGUAAAGGCCUACCAAGGCGACGAUCUGUAGCGGGUCUGAGAGGAUGAUCCGCCACACUGGGACUGAGACACGGCCCAGACUCCUACGGGAGGCAGCAGUGGGGAAUAUUGGACAAUGGGCGAAAGCCUGAUCCAGCCAUGGCCGCGUGUGUGAAGAAGGCCUUUUGGUUGUAAAGCACUUUAAGCGAGGAGGAGGCUACCGAGAUUAAUACUCUAGGAUAGUGGACGUUACUCGCAGAAUAAGCACCGGCUAACUCUGUGCCAGCAGCCGCGGUAAUACAGAGGGUGCGAGCGUUAAUCGGAUUUACUGGGCGUAAAGCGUGCGUAGGCGGCUUUUUAAGUCGGAUGUGAAAUCCCUGAGCUUAACUUAGGAAUUGCAUUCGAUACUGGGAAGCUAGAGUAUGGGAGAGGAUGGUAGAAUUCCAGGUGUAGCGGUGAAAUGCGUAGAGAUCUGGAGGAAUACCGAUGGCGAAGGCAGCCAUCUGGCCUAAUACUGACGCUGAGGUACGAAAGC
Molecule: ribosomal RNA, 759 nt
Filed under: uncultured bacterium
Lineage: Bacteria
Description: bacterial SSU rRNA
Rfam family: Bacterial small subunit ribosomal RNA
Source: RNAcentral